RNAcentral lists this ribosomal RNA (1629 nucleotides) under human gut metagenome. RNAcentral describes it as "bacterial LSU rRNA". It matches the Rfam family "Bacterial large subunit ribosomal RNA", at positions 1274 to 2925 of the family's 2925-position model. The record is from RNAcentral.
UGGACGGUAUAGAAGAGAGAAUCCCGGAAUGAGAAGCGAGAUGAAGGUGGGAAUCCUCCAGCCCGAAAAUCAAAGGUUUCCAGAGUAAAGCUGAUCUGCUCGGGGUAAGUCGGGGCCUAAGGCGAGUUCGAAAGACGUAGUCGAUGGAUAACAGGUUGAAAUUCCUGUACCGCAAAUCAUCAGAACUGUGGGGACACAGAACCGAAGGGAAACCCGGGAAUGAAAAGACCGGGGCAAGCAGAGGACUGGUUAAGCUGGCAAAUCCGCUUAGCAACAGGAGACUGUGACGCGUACCGAACAGAAGUAGGGAAGUUUCCGUAGGGGCUGUCAAGAAAAGCCGCUAUUGUGUGAUAUGUGCCCGUACCGUAAACCGACACAGGUGGAUGAGGAGAGAAUCCUAAGGCCGGCGGGAGAAGCAUUGUUAAGGAACUCGGCAAAAUGACCCUGUAACUUCGGGAGAAAGGGUGCCUGGGAAACCAGGCCGCAGAGAAUAGGCUCAAGCAACUGUUUAGCAAAAACACAGGUCUAUGCAAAACCGAAAGGUGAGGUAUAUGGGCUGACGCCUGCCCGGUGCUGGAAGGUUACGAGGAGAGGUUAGCGAAAGCGAAGCUUUGAAUUUAAGCCCCAGUAAACGGCGGCCGUAACUAUAACGGUCCUAAGGUAGCGAAAUUCCUUGUCGGGUAAGUUCCGACCCGCACGAAAGGCGUAAUGAUUUGAGCGCUGUCUCGACAAUGCAUCCGGUGAAAUUGAAGUACCAGUGAAGAUGCUGGUUACCCGCGCCAGGACGGAAAGACCCCAUGGAGCUUUACUCCAGUUUGGUACUGGGAUUCGGUAUUGCAUGUACAGGAUAGGUGGGAGGCUUUGAGGCGGUGACGCCAGUUGCCGUGGAGCCAAUGUUGGGAUACCACCCUUGCAGUAUUGGGUUUCUAACCUGCGCCCGUGAACCGGGCGGGGGACAAUGCCAGACGGGGAGUUUGACUGGGGCGGUCGCCUCCGAAAGGGUAUCGGAGGCGCCCAAAGGUUCCCUCAGGAUGGUUGGAAACCAUCCAGAGAGUGUAAAGGCAGAAGGGAGCUUGACUGCGACACCGACGGGUGGAGCAGGUACGAAAGUAGGGCUUAGUGAUCCGGUGGUAUUAAGUGGGAAUGCCAUCGCUCAACGGAUAAAAGCUACCCUGGGGAUAACAGGCUUAUCACUCCCAAGAGUUCACAUCGACGGAGUGGUUUGGCACCUCGAUGUCGGCUCAUCGCAUCCUGGGGCUGUAGUAGGUCCCAAGGGUUGGGCUGUUCGCCCAUUAAAGCGGUACGCGAGCUGGGUUCAGAACGUCGUGAGACAGUUCGGUCCCUAUCCGGCGUGGGCGCAGGAUAUUUGAGAGGAGCUGUCCUUAGUACGAGAGGACCGGGAUGGACGGACCGCUGGUGGACCUGUUGCAGCGCCAGCUGCAUGGCAGGGUAGCCAAGUCCGGAAGGGAUAAACGCUGAAGGCAUCUAAGCGUGAAGCCCCCCUCAAGAUGAGAUAUCCCAUUCUAAGAAGAAGUAAGACCCCUUGAAGACGACGAGGUAGAUAGGGCAGAGGUGGAAGCGCAGCAAUGUGUGGAGCUGACUGUUACUAAUCGGUCGAGGGCUUGACCA